UACGUAGGGUGCAAGCGUUGUCCGGAAUUAUUGGGCGUAAAGAGCUCGUAGGCGGUCUGUCGCGUCGGCUGUGAAAACUCGGGGCUCAACCCCGAGCCUGCAGUCGAUACGGGCAGACUAGAGUGCGGUAGGGGGAGACUGGAAUUCCUGGUGUAGCGGUGAAAUGCGCAGAUAUCAGGAGGAACACCGGUGGCGAAGGCGGGUCUCUGGGCCGUAACUGACGCUGAGGAGCGAAAGCGUGGGGAGCAAACAGG
Molecule: ribosomal RNA, 254 nt
Filed under: uncultured bacterium
Lineage: Bacteria
Description: partial 16S ribosomal RNA
Rfam family: Bacterial small subunit ribosomal RNA
Source: RNAcentral